Molecule: ribosomal RNA, 465 nt
Filed under: Vreelandella stevensii
Lineage: Bacteria; Pseudomonadati; Pseudomonadota; Gammaproteobacteria; Oceanospirillales; Halomonadaceae
Description: partial 16S ribosomal RNA
Rfam family: Bacterial small subunit ribosomal RNA
Source: RNAcentral
CCUACGAGCGGCAGCAGUGGGGAAUAUUGGACAAUGGGGGCAACCCUGAUCCAGCCAUGCCGCGUGUGUGAAGAAGGCCCUCGGGUUGUAAAGCACUUUCAGUGAGGAAGAACGCCUGGUGGUUAAUACCCAUCAGGAAAGACAUCACUCACAGAAGAAGCACCGGCUAACUCCGUGCCAGCAGCCGCGGUAAUACGGAGGGUGCGAGCGUUAAUCGGAAUUACUGGGCGUAAAGCGCGCGUAGGUGGCUUGAUAAGCCGGUUGUGAAAGCCCCGGGCUCAACCUGGGAACGGCAUCCGGAACUGUCAAGCUAGAGUGCAGGAGAGGAAGGUAGAAUUCCCGGUGUAGCGGUGAAAUGCGUAGAGAUCGGGAGGAAUACCAGUGGCGAAGACGGCCUUCUGGACUGACACUGACACUGAGGUGCGAAAGCGUGGGUAGCAAACAGGAUUAGAUACCCUAGUAGUC